RNAcentral lists this ribosomal RNA (493 nucleotides) under uncultured bacterium. RNAcentral's name for it is "partial 16S ribosomal RNA". It matches the Rfam family "Bacterial small subunit ribosomal RNA", at positions 29 to 508 of the family's 1533-position model. The record is from RNAcentral.
AGUGAACGCUGGCGGUAGGCCUAACACAUGCAAGUCGAACGGCAGCACAGUAAGAGCUUGCUCUUACGGGUGGCGAGUGGCGGACGGGUGAGGAAUACAUCGGAAUCUACUUUUUCGUGGGGGAUAACGUAGGGAAACUUACGCUAAUACCGCAUACGACCUACGGGUGAAAGCAGGGGAUCUUCGGACCUUGCGCGAUUGAAUGAGCCGAUGUCGGAUUAGCUAGUUGGCGGGGUAAAGGCCCACCAAGGCGACGAUCCGUAGCUGGUCUGAGAGGAUGAUCAGCCACACUGGAACUGAGACACGGUCCAGACUCCUACGGGAGGCAGCAGUGGGGAGUAUUGGACAAUGGGCGCAAGCCUGAUCCAGCCAUACCGCGUGGGUGAAGAAGGCCUUCGGGUUGUAAAGCCCUUUUGUUGGGAAAGAAAAGCAGCAGGUUAAUACCCCGCUGUUCUGACGGUACCCAAAGAAUAAGCACCGGCUAACUUCGUGC